UAGGAGAAGAUGAGUUAAAUACCGUAUUGCUUAUUUUACGAGGAUAUAGACCAUUUGUUGUAUCUUGAAAAUACGUAAACAAUUUCUUCUUAACAAUGACAUUUAACAGUACAGUAGAUUUUUAAUGAAAAAUUUAUCUCACUUUUACGUCACGCUAAUAUUGUGACACCUGUUUACAUUAUGCAAUCUAGAAAUUCUUAGAAAUCAUUUGAACCGUGAAACAGAUUUAUUUUCUGCAAUUCUUUUGUAUAAUCGACGCCAGAAGAAACUAACAUCAAUAUUUUUUAAUACAUCAAGAGAUUUGACAUAUCACAGGAAGGAAUGAAUACUAGUUGAUAAAAGACAACUUGUAUCUUAUCAUAGAGAAAAGAUUGAAAGUUAUCCUGAAAUUACGCAAUUAUUAGUAUUAAAUGCAGCAGAUAUUAGAAGGCAUAAAGGAAUAGACUGCAUCGAAUUUAAGAAGGAAAGGCGACAACUUUUCUUUUUGUUAAGAAUUUAUUGUAUAAUUAACUAUUAUUGUUUAGGAAAGAAACUAAUUAUGUAUUUUCCAGCUACGACAAAUGGCCUACUGUCCACGAAGAGUCGCUUCAUAGACGUAUUAGACGCGUUGAUGCUAAGAGCAAGUACUAAGUACGCUUCCAUGCAGUGUUUAUUGUCAAGUAAUGUGCACCUGUCCAUGAAACAGCAGCAAACGGUGUUCGUCGCUACAUGUUUUCAUCACGACGGCUGUCGCUAAUAUUGUCAGUAGCGAGGCGUACGUUGCAGCUAUAAACGAAUGCAACGAUACAGGGUGAAAAAGGUUUCACUCGUCGCUCGACGUUUUAAUAACGAAUAACGAAUAGACCGCGGAUUUCUGAUGUAAAUUGAUAUUUUCACGAAUACGAUAAAAUACAGGAUCUAGAUGGAGAUUUGUUUUAUCCACUAAGUACUACAAGAAGUACUGUACUUUGGAUAUCUUAUAUACUUUUACGUAUUAUGUGCAUCUCUCACAAUUUCUCACAAAUUUCUCACAAUGAACAUCGGCGUAGACAUAUCGUCAUGUCUAAUAGACUAUGCUUAGGCUUUUAUGGAACGAAGUUUCGUGGACAGUGGAUCUUGGAGUGUCCUCCUUAAAGCGCCAGACCACCAAGUAUAUUGUCAAUAUUUCAAGAUUCUCAAUUAAAAGGAUCAAUAUGGAUUGUCAAUAUUUAUUGACAAACCUUAUUUUCACUGAGAACUUUGAUAUAUUGGCGAUAUUAUUGAUUGUCCGAAGGCACCCUUAGGAAAAAAUUUUCAUAUUUAAAAGAUAUUUUCAAGCUACGACAAAUGGUUUAUAUUCUCCUAGAAUAAACAACACGAUACAAGUCAUUCUCUCUUACGCAAAACAAUACGUACAGCGACAGUACUGUGUCCAAAUAUUACUGUGAGUAACUGUACACUGCCGAACGCACGACUACGAUAUUCCACAAUUUGAGUGAUAAAAUUGUAUACGUAUACGUCUGCCUCGACUGAAUACAUGCGCGUGUUACUCGGCAAGCAGGAGAACCCGUCGACGGGUUACUCACCGCGGGCGACGCUCCAUCGAUCGCGUCGCUUUGCGAGGGGUGGAAUCGUGGCCAGAGACAUUGCCGAAGCGAGAGAGAAAUUAAUAUCAGAGCAGGAGAGAAGAGGCCAGCCAGGAGAGAGGGAGAAAGGGCGAGCGGAAGGGGAGACGAGGAGAAACGACGAGAGACGAGGAACAGUAGGGAAGCCGGGACUCCCCUAUGUCGACGUUCAACUCUGCAAUGUCGGCUCUUCGAGGGUGUAUUUUAUGGUGAAAUAGGGGAAAUGAGGAGCGACGAAGACAGGUUAUACGUAAAAAGGAACGGAGCGUUGUAGACAUAAAGAACGGAAAGGAGAGGCGAAGGGAAGGGGAGAGACAAGAUAGAAAAAAAUAGAUAGGGGGUAGCAGAGAGCAAUGUGGUGGGAGAGAAACCAGAGAUUAUAAAAGCUAUGAGAGAGGAGGAUGAGCGCUGGUCGAGGAUAUAAGAUAUCCAUGAGAGGAUUGAAAAAGGAAAGAAGUGUAAGAUGGUGGGCGGAAGGAAAUCGUAAUAUCAAAUGAGAGAAUUUAAAAAGUUAUUUUAUAUGUAUUUCAUCGGUGGAUGGUAUGUAAUUAAUUGGACAAUUAUAUCUAUCAGAAAUACAUAUAAGAAAUAUAAGAAUAAGAAUAUAAAUAUUUAUUUAUUUGUUAUGUAUUUUUUAUUAAUUUCAAACUCUUUAUUUUACAUGUUAUAUAUGCUAAUACAUGUAUAUGCAUUUGCAGAACAAGUUUAAAUUAAUAAGCAUGCAAUUUAAUUAACUGAACUAAUAUUUUUCGAGUUCAGAUGUAUCAUGUACAGGCUGUUCCAGAUCUCAACCGGUGAACCUUGUCAACAUGUUUGGGAGGUCAUUUUGAGUAAAAGAUCAUAUAUAUUCCAUGGAUCGAUUUGUCUUCCUUUUCGAGAUAUAAAGGGGAAAGUAGUACGAAACGAAAGUAAUCAGAUGCAUUCAAGCUAUUCGAUGAUAAUCAUUUAUUUCAAAUUAUUUUCUACACUGAUUCAUACUGGUUUACACAAAUUGUUCAAAAUCAUCUUGUUUCUAUGCACAAAGAAGUUAAGUAGCUUGAACGUGUCUGAUUACUCGUUCUUUAUACUUUCCUCUCUCAUAUCGAGUUUUACAAAAUCAAAGCUAAAAUAUCUUUUUUUAAUUACUCAUUUUUUGACUCAAUAUUUUUUCGCAGAGAAUUAACAAAUUGCAUCGAACGAUGUGUGGAAAGAUAUAUAGUUUCAUUUAAAAAGAGAAAACGAAGUACACCUUGAAAUCUCAAAGGCACGUCCACUAAGAUAAGAUUCGUGACAUUACAAAAGUCGAAAAUGAAGAAUUACACACGUGAUAUAAGAAGUAUGAAAUAUUUUGAACAAUAUCGACGUAGAAGGUAACGCAGUCUAAGUCCAUAUCUACAUAUAAUUAAGUUCGCAAGAACCUGGAAUAAAAAUUGGAAAUAGGAAAAUAAUCUGCACGUUAAUCAAAUUUUUUUUAGUAAAAAUUUAAUUUAUAUAAUAAUCAAUAUUAUAAAAUUAGUAGUGGUAUAAGCGAGAAGAUGACGAGUUUAUCAAGUUGCAGAGGUAUGAAAGGGUCGAUUAAACAAUCGCGCAAAAUCUUUCACAAUUUAGUGGUUCAAUAUGCCGAUCCUAAAGCACUAUCAUACAUUAAUUAAAAGUUUUAAGCCUAGCUAAUCGAACGUGUAUAACAGUAGAUUAAAUCGGUGCUUUAUCAAUUAUCUCUCAGAGCAAAUCAUAAAUCAAAAUCAAACUCGAGCGUUCUUUUCAUACGAGUUUAACUUCUUGACGUACAAUUUAAUUGAGAUUAACUUGUCAUUGUAUACUUCGCGUACAAUAUUAUUACCAUUUCUUUCAAGAUUUCAAGAUAAGAUUACCAUUAUAUUUUAUCCUUUCUAUACUUACAUAUUAUUUCCCUAUUACUUUAGUACAAAGCUACUGUUAUGCACGUUAAUAUUUUGUGUAUAAUGAUACGAACGUCGAAACGAAAGGGAAGAUACUUGAAAAGCUAAAGAAAGCUGUGGAAGCGUCGUCUCUUAUCGUCUAUCUAUACCAUUAUUUGCGCGUAAUCUUAUGAACUUUUCACCGGUCUAGAUUAAAUUAUAUCAUGUAGCAGAAAAAAACAAUUUCUUAUUGUAUAUUGUACUAAAUUGUGGGAACAAAGGAUUUUUAGAAAAAAAAUGCGCUAUAAGAUUCAAAAGCAACACUGACUGAACCUAUGCAUUUCUUUCCUUAUGAGAAAUGUGGAAUGAAGAAGAUUUAUUUUUAUAUUUUACCAUCGUGUCUUUAUGCAUUUUAACCACUUUCUAGAUAUAUGAAUAAAUAUGUACAAAUUUUAUAUUAAAGCUUUUUUAUCUAUUAAAUCUUAUUUUAUGGUUGUGAAAAUGUACUUAAUUCGAUGGAUUGUAUAUAUCCUGAUUAACAAAUAUUAUUCCCAAUAAAACUAUAUAUUGAUUUGUGAAGAGAAUUGGUCGCUUAAUCCGCAGCAAUCUUCAAUUCUAUGAAUCUGCAAUAGUCUUCAAUAAUUAAUCUUCGAUCGUUAAUCGUUAUCAAUCUUCCACAUAUUGGGAAAAUUUUAUAUGAAAAAUUGAUGAAUUAUACAUAGAUUUAAAUUAUUCGUAAAUGAAAGAACAAAA
This is a long non-coding RNA of Bombus pyrosoma, 4192 nucleotides long. RefSeq lists it as uncharacterized. NCBI's taxonomy places the organism in Eukaryota, Metazoa, Arthropoda, Insecta, Hymenoptera, Apidae. The record is from RefSeq and is a predicted model, not a curated record. The transcript is spliced from 4 exons.